UUAGGGAAUCUUCCACAAUGGACGAAAGUCUGAUGGAGCAACGCCGCGUGAGUGAAGAAGGUUUUCGGAUCGUAAAGCUCUGUUGUUGGUGAAGAAGGAUAGAGGCAGUAACUGGUCUUUAUUUGACGGUAAUCAACCAGAAAGUCACGGCUAACUACGUGCCAG
Molecule: ribosomal RNA, 165 nt
Filed under: uncultured bacterium
Lineage: Bacteria
Description: partial 16S rRNA
Rfam family: Bacterial small subunit ribosomal RNA
Source: RNAcentral